RNAcentral lists this ribosomal RNA (396 nucleotides) under uncultured bacterium. RNAcentral describes it as "partial 16S ribosomal RNA". It matches the Rfam family "Bacterial small subunit ribosomal RNA", at positions 523 to 918 of the family's 1533-position model. The record is from RNAcentral.
AUACGUAGGGGGCGAGCGUUGUCCGGAAUGAUUGGGCGUAAAGGGCGCGUAGGCGGCCCGGUAAGUCUGGAGUGAAAGUCCUGUUUUUAAGAUGGGAAUUGCUUUGGAUACUGUCGGGCUUGAGUGCAGGAGAGGUAAGUGGAAUUCCCAGUGUAGCGGUGAAAUGCGGAGAGAUUGGGAGGAACACCAGUGGCGAAGGCGACUUACUGGACUGUAACUGGCGCUGAGGCGCGAAAGUGUGGGGAGCAAACAGGAUUAGAUACCCUGGUAGUCCACACUGUAAACGAUGAAUACUAGGUGUGGGGGGACUGACCCCCUCCGUGCCGCAGUUAACACAAUAAGUAUUCCGCCUGGGGAGUACGAUCGCAAGAUUGAAACUCAAAUGAAUUGACGGGG